Molecule: long non-coding RNA, 517 nt
Organism: Cyprinus carpio carpio
Lineage: Eukaryota; Metazoa; Chordata; Actinopteri; Cypriniformes; Cyprinidae
Source: Ensembl
GAAAAUUCAAAAUAACUGACUUCCUGUUGGGAUUUGAAUUUCGUACCAAGAGACUUUUUUAUAGGUAUUGGUGUGUUACAUGUGUGUACCGAUUUUUGUACAUGUGCGUGAAACGUAGCUCGAGGCGCACUCCGUUGAAAAUGUAUAGGUGGCGCUAUCGAGGCAUUUUGCCACACCCAAUGGAAUAUUGGCCUUCAGAUGUGUUCAGGCCAGGACACUUAUCAAACAUGUGAAGUUUGGGCAAGAUCGGACAUUUUAUGCCUGAGUUACAAUAACUUUUAUUCCCAUGGCGAGACAUCGAACUUUGUGACGGCGCCAUGGACACGCCCUUUAACGAAAACUCAAGAUCUUCACAAUUUAACAUCGCACAGGCCUUUAGAAUAGAGUGACUGAAAAAAAAAGUAUUAUGUCAUAAAAUUUCUCGGGGUAGUUUGUUACAGCGUAAAAUAUGUCACUUCCUGUUGCCAGUAGGUGGCGCUGUGACUAUAACUGAAUAUGGGCAUAUCAAUCUGUUCAG